AUUUCAUGAUGAGGACAACUAGCACAUAACUUCUUGAAUCUUUCCCAAUACUCAUACAAAGUCUCCUCAUUGUACUAGCAAAUACCACAAAUUUAUUUCCUAAUAAG
Pistacia vera is the source of this 107-nucleotide small nucleolar RNA. NCBI's taxonomy places the organism in Eukaryota, Viridiplantae, Streptophyta, Magnoliopsida, Sapindales, Anacardiaceae. The record is from RefSeq and is a predicted model, not a curated record.